GCAGGUAUGGUUCAUCGGUAGAACAUCAGCUUCCCAAGCUGAGGAGGGGGGUUCGACUCCCCUUACCUGCU
RNAcentral lists this transfer RNA (71 nucleotides) under Lachnospiraceae bacterium. RNAcentral describes it as "tRNA-Gly". It matches the Rfam family "tRNA". From Rfam's summary of the family: Transfer RNA (tRNA) molecules are approximately 80 nucleotides in length. Their secondary structure includes four short double-helical elements and three loops (D, anti-codon, and T loops). Further hydrogen bonds mediate the characteristic L-shaped molecular structure. tRNAs have two regions of fundamental functional importance: the anti-codon, which is responsible for specific mRNA codon recognition, and the 3' end, to which the tRNAs corresponding amino acid is attached (by aminoacyl-tRNA synthetases). tRNAs cope with the degeneracy of the genetic code in two manners: having more than one tRNA (with a specific anti-codon) for a particular amino acid; and 'wobble' base-pairing, i.e. permitting non-standard base-pairing at the 3rd anti-codon position. Lineage: Bacteria; Bacillati; Bacillota; Clostridia; Lachnospirales; Lachnospiraceae. RNAcentral also lists the same sequence under 6 other names. The record is from RNAcentral.